RNAcentral lists this ribosomal RNA (2888 nucleotides) under Helicobacter pylori. RNAcentral's name for it is "bacterial LSU rRNA". It matches the Rfam family "Bacterial large subunit ribosomal RNA". Lineage: Bacteria; Pseudomonadati; Campylobacterota; Epsilonproteobacteria; Campylobacterales; Helicobacteraceae. The record is from RNAcentral.
AAAACAAGCUUUUAAGAGCAGAUGGCGGAUGCCUUGCCAAAGAGAGGCGAUGAAGGACGUACUAGACUGCGAUAAGCUAUGCGGAGCUGUCAAGGAGCUUUGAUGCGUAGAUGUCCGAAUGGGGCAACCCAACUAAUAGAGAUAUUAGUUACUCUUUAAUAGAGAGCGAACCUAGUGAAGUGAAACAUCUCAGUAACUAGAGGAAAAGAAAUCAACGAGAUUCCCUAAGUAGUGGCGAGCGAACGGGGAAAAGGGCAAACCGAGUGCUUGCAUUCGGGGUUGAGGACUGCAACAUCCAAGAGAACGCUUUAGCAGAGUUACCUGGAAAGGUAAGCCAUAGAAAGUGAUAGCCUUGUAUGCGACAAGGCGUUCUUAGGUAGCAGUAUCCAGAGUAGGCCAGGACACGAGGAAUCCAGGUUGAAGCCGGGGAGACCACUCUCCAACCCUAAAUACUACUCUUUGAGCGAUAGCGAACAAGUACCGUGAGGGAAAGGUGAAAAGAACCGCAGUGAGCGGAGUGAAAUAGAACCUGAAACCAUCUGCUUACAAUCAUUCAGAGCCCUAUGAUUUAUCAGGGUGAUGGACUGCCUUUUGCAUAAUGAUCCUGCGAGUUGUGGUAUCUGGCAAGGUUAAGCGAAUGCGAAGCCGUAGCGAAAGCGAGUCUUAAUAGGGCGAACAAGUCAGAUGCUGCAGACCCGAAGCUAAGUGAUCUAUCCAUGGCCAAGUUGAAACGCGUGUAAUAGCGCGUGGAGGACUGAACUCGUACCCAUUGAAACGGGUUGGGAUGAGCUGUGGAUAGGGGUGAAAGGCCAAACAAACUUAGUGAUAGCUGGUUCUCUUCGAAAUAUAUUUAGGUAUAGCCUCAAGUGAUAAUAAAAGGGGGUAGAGCACUGAUUGGGCUAGGGCUGCUCGCCGCGGUACCAAACCCUAUCAAACUUCGAAUACCUUUUAUCGUAUCUUGGGAGUCAGGCGGUGGGUGAUAAAAUCAAUCGUCAAAAGGGGAACAACCCAGACUACCAAAUAAGGUCCCUAAGUUCUAUUCUGAGUGGAAAAAGAUGUGUGGCUACUCAAACAACCAGGAGGUUGGCUUAGAAGCAGCCAUCCUUUAAAGAAAGCGUAACAGCUCACUGGUCUAGUGGUCAUGCGCUGAAAAUAUAACGGGGCUAAGAUAGACACCGAAUUUGUAGAUUGUGUUAAACACAGUGGUAGAAGAGCGUUCAUACCAGCGUUGAAGGUAUACCGGUAAGGAGUGCUGGAGCGGUAUGAAGUGAGCAUGCAGGAAUGAGUAACGAUAAGAUAUAUGAGAAUUGUAUCCGCCGUAAAUCUAAGGUUUCCUACGCGAUGGUCGUCAUCGUAGGGUUAGUCGGGUCCUAAGCCGAGUCCGAAAGGGGUAGGUGAUGGCAAAUUGGUUAAUAUUCCAAUACCGACUAUGGAGCGUGAUGGGGGGACGCAUAGGGUUAAGCGAGCUAGCUGAUGGAAGCGCUAGUCUAAGGGCGUAGAUUGGAGGGAAGGCAAAUCCACCUCUGUAUUUGAAACCCAAACAGGCUCUUUGAGUCCUUUUAGGACAAAGGGAGAAUCGCUGAUACCGUCGUGCCAAGAAAAGCCUCUAAGCAUAUCCAUAGUCGUCCGUACCGCAAACCGACACAGGUAGAUGAGAUGAGUAUUCUAAGGCGCGUGAAAGAACUCUGGUUAAGGAACUCUGCAAACUAGCACCGUAAGUUCGCGAUAAGGUGUGCCACAGCGAUGUGGUCUCAGCAAAGAGUCCCUCCCGACUGUUUACCAAAAACACAGCACUUUGCCAACUCGUAAGAGGAAGUAUAAGGUGUGACGCCUGCCCGGUGCUCGAAGGUUAAGAGGAUGCGUCAGUCGCAAGAUGAAGCGUUGAAUUGAAGCCCGAGUAAACGGCGGCCGUAACUAUAACGGUCCUAAGGUAGCGAAAUUCCUUGUCGGUUAAAUACCGACCUGCAUGAAUGGCGUAACGAGAUGGGAGCUGUCUCAACCAGAGAUUCAGUGAAAUUGUAGUGGAGGUGAAAAUUCCUCCUACCCGCGGCAAGACGGAAAGACCCCGUGGACCUUUACUACAACUUAGCACUGCUAAUGGGAAUAUCAUGCGCAGGAUAGGUGGGAGGCUUUGAAGUAAGGGCUUUGGCUCUUAUGGAGCCAUCCUUGAGAUACCACCCUUGAUGUUUCUGUUAGCUAACUGGCCUGUGUUAUCCACAGGCAGGACAAUGCUUGGUGGGUAGUUUGACUGGGGCGGUCGCCUCCUAAAAAGUAACGGAGGCUUGCAAAGGUUGGCUCAUUGCGGUUGGAAAUCGCAAGUUGAGUGUAAUGGCACAAGCCAGCCUGACUGUAAGACAUACAAGUCAAGCAGAGACGAAAGUCGGUCAUAGUGAUCCGGUGGUUCUGUGUGGAAGGGCCAUCGCUCAAAGGAUAAAAGGUACCCCGGGGAUAACAGGCUGAUCUCCCCCAAGAGCUCACAUCGACGGGGAGGUUUGGCACCUCGAUGUCGGCUCAUCGCAUCCUGGGGCUGGAGCAGGUCCCAAGGGUAUGGCUGUUCGCCAUUUAAAGCGGUACGCGAGCUGGGUUCAGAACGUCGUGAGACAGUUCGGUCCCUAUCUGCCGUGGGCGUAGGAAAGUUGAGGAGAGCUGUCCCUAGUACGAGAGGACCGGGAUGGACGUGUCACUGGUGCACCAGUUGUUCUGCCAAGAGCAUCGCUGGGUAGCUACACACGGAUGUGAUAACUGCUGAAAGCAUCUAAGCAGGAAGCCAACUCCAAGAUAAACUUUCCCUGAAGCUCGCACAAAGACUAUGUGCUUGAUAGGGUAGAUGUGUAAGCGCAGUAAUGCGUUUAGCUGACUACUACUAAUAGAGCGUUUGGCUUGUUUUU